UUACAUCACACAAUCGAAAGAUUAGCCAAAGGCUGAUAAAAGUGGAACUAAGUGAAAUUCUUAGACUGUCGUGCAACUGUGUUUCCUGUAGGGAAGAGUCAGAUACACCCUUUUGAUUGCUCCAAGUA
RNAcentral lists this non-coding RNA (128 nucleotides) under Flavobacterium fontis. Lineage: Bacteria; Pseudomonadati; Bacteroidota; Flavobacteriia; Flavobacteriales; Flavobacteriaceae. The record is from RNAcentral.